RNAcentral lists this ribosomal RNA (704 nucleotides) under uncultured Actinomycetes bacterium. RNAcentral's name for it is "bacterial SSU rRNA". It matches the Rfam family "Bacterial small subunit ribosomal RNA", at positions 746 to 1452 of the family's 1533-position model. The record is from RNAcentral. Lineage: Bacteria; Bacillati; Actinomycetota; Actinomycetes.
CUGAGGAGCGAAAGUCUGGGGAGCGAACAGGAUUAGAUACCCUGGUAGUCCAGACCGUAAACGGUGGGCACUAGUUGUGGGAACCUUCCACGGUUUCUGCGACGCAGCUAACGCAUUAAGUGCCCCGCCUGGGGAGUACGAUCGCAAGAUUAAAACUCAAAGGAAUUGACGGGGCCCCGCACAAGCAGCGGAGCAUGCGGUUUAAUUCGACGCAACGCGAAGAACCUUACCAAGGCUUGACAUAUAGGGAAAAGUGGCAGAGAUGUCAUGUCCGCAAGGGCUCUAUACAGGUGGUGCAUGGUUGUCGUCAGCUCGUGUCGUGAGAUGUUGGGUUAAGUCCCGCAACGAGCGCAACCCUCGUUCUGUGUUGCCAGCAUUUAGUUGGGGACUCACAGGAGACUGCCGGGGUUAACUCGGAGGAAGGUGGGGAUGACGUCAAAUCAUCAUGCCCCUUAUGUCUUGGGCUGCACGCAUGCUACAAUGGCCGGUACAGAGGGCUGCAAUACCGUAAGGUGGAGCGAAUCCCAAAAAGCCGGUCUCAGUUCGGAUUGAGGUCUGCAACUCGACCUCAUGAAGUUGGAGUUGCUAGUAAUCGUAGAUCAGCAACGCUACGGUGAAUACGUUCCCGGGGCUUGUACACACCGCCCGUCACGUCACGAAAGUCGGUAACACCCAAAGUCAGUGGCCCAACCGCAAGGGGGGAG